Molecule: small RNA, 885 nt
Filed under: Pan troglodytes (chimpanzee)
Lineage: Eukaryota; Metazoa; Chordata; Mammalia; Primates; Hominidae
Description: retained intron
Source: RNAcentral
ACAAACAGGAGGUCGGAAGGAAGCUGUGGGGGUAGAUCUGGAGGUGACAAGGGAGGGAUCCUUAUGGGAUAAUGGGUCUUCAGAGACUGUUUCAGUUUAGACUCCAGUGACCCCAGAACUAGUGUGAUUGGGGUUCUUGUCUCCAGGAUAAAAAUGGGAAAGAGUUGUCAGAUGAGGACAUAAGAGCAGAAGCUGACACUUUCAUGUUUGGAGGCCAUGACACCACGGCCAGUGGCCUCUCCUGGGUCUUGUACAACCUCGCGAGGCACCCAGAAUACCAAGAACGCUGCCGGCAGGAGGUGCAAGAGCUUCUGAAGGACCGUGAGCCUAAAGAGAUUGAAUGGGACGACCUGGCCCAGUUGCCCUUCCUGACCAUGUGCCUGAAGGAGAGCCUGCGGUUGCAUCCCCCAAUCCCUAUAUUCGCCCGCGGCUGCACCCAGGACGUGGUGCUCCCAGACAGCCGAGUCAUCCCCAAAGGGAAUGUCUGUAACAUCAACAUCUUCGCAAUCCAUCACAACCCCUCAGUCUGGCCAGACCCUGAGGUCUAUGACCCCUUCCGCUUCGACCCAGAAAACGCCCAGAAGAGGUCACCUAUGGCUUUUAUUCCUUUCUCGGCGGGGCCCAGGAACUGCAUCGGGCAGAAGUUCGCGAUGGCAGAGAUGAAGGUGGUCCUGGCGCUCACGCUGCUGCGCUUCCGCAUCCUGCCCGACCACAGGGAGCCACGCAGGACGCCGGAGAUUGUUUUGCGUGCGGAGGACGGACUUUGGCUGCGAGUAGAGCCCCUGGGCUGAGGCCUGCAGUGACCCACCCACCUACCUUUGCAUCACCUACCUUUGCACCAACUACCUUUUCAGAUUUCCGGUAAUAAAUCUGUGCUGGCCCCUG